This 233-nucleotide ribosomal RNA is filed under the name Alkalicoccus luteus. RNAcentral's name for it is "Bacillus luteus partial 23S ribosomal RNA". It matches the Rfam family "Bacterial large subunit ribosomal RNA", at positions 2695 to 2925 of the family's 2925-position model. Lineage: Bacteria; Bacillati; Bacillota; Bacilli; Caryophanales; Bacillaceae. The record is from RNAcentral.
GGAUGGACAUACCGCUGGUGUACCAGUUGUUCCGCCAGGAGCAUCGCUGGGUAGCUACGUGUGGACGGGAUAAGUGCUGAAAGCAUCUAAGCAUGAAGCCCCCCUCAAGAUGAGAUUUCCCAUCACAUUUAGUGAGUAAGAUCCCUCGGAGAUGACGAGGUAGAUAGGUCUCGCGUGGAAGCGUGGCGACACGUGCAGCGGAGAGAUACUAAUCGAUCGAGGGCUUAACCAAU